AUUGAACGCUGGCGGCAGGCCUAACACAUGCAAGUCGAACGCGUGGCGGACGGGUGAGUAAUGUCUGGGAAACUGCCUGAUGGAGGGGGAUAAAUACUGGAACCGGUAGCUAAUACCGCAUACCAUCAGAGGUGCCCAGAUGGGAUUAGCUAGUAGGUGGGGUAACGGCGCACCAAGGCGACGAUCCCUAGCUGGUCUGAGAGGAUGCCCCGCCACACUGUACCUGAGACACGGGCCAGACUCCUACGGGAGGCAGCAGUGGGGAAUAUUGCGCAAUGGGCGCAAGCCUGAUGCAGCCAUGCCGCGUGUAUGAUGAAGGCCUUCGGGUUGUAAAGUACUUUCAGCGGGGAGGCGUUACCCGCAGAGGAAGCACCGGCUAACUCCGUGCCAGCAGCCGCGGUAAUAC
RNAcentral lists this ribosomal RNA (406 nucleotides) under uncultured bacterium. RNAcentral's name for it is "partial 16S ribosomal RNA". It matches the Rfam family "Bacterial small subunit ribosomal RNA", at positions 30 to 526 of the family's 1533-position model. The record is from RNAcentral.